UGCCAGCCGCCGCGGUAAUACGGAGGGAUCGAACGUUAAUCGGAAUCAUUGGGUUUAAAGGGUGCGCAGGCGGAACUUUAAGUCAGUGGUGAAAUCUUGCCGCUUAACGGUAAAAUUGCCAUUGAUACUGAAGUUCUUGAAUGUAGUUGAGGUAGGCGGAAUGUGUUGUGUAGCGGUGAAAUGCAUAGAUAUGACACAGAACGCCAAUUGCGAAGGCAGCUUACUAAGCUACGAUUGACGCUGAGGCACGAAAGCGUGGGGAGCGAACAGGAUUAGAUA
RNAcentral lists this ribosomal RNA (279 nucleotides) under uncultured bacterium. RNAcentral describes it as "partial 16S ribosomal RNA". It matches the Rfam family "Bacterial small subunit ribosomal RNA", at positions 506 to 784 of the family's 1533-position model. The record is from RNAcentral.